Molecule: ribosomal RNA, 253 nt
Filed under: uncultured bacterium
Lineage: Bacteria
Description: partial 16S ribosomal RNA
Rfam family: Bacterial small subunit ribosomal RNA
Source: RNAcentral
CACGUAGGGCGCAAGCGUUGUCCGGAAUUAUUGGGCGUAAAGAGCUCGUAGGCGGUCUGUUACGUCUGCUGUGAAAACCCAGGGCUUAACCCUGGGCUUGCAGUGGAUACGGGCAGACUAGAGGCAGGUAGGGGAGAAUGGAAUUCCCGGUGUAGCGGUGAAAUGCGCAGAUAUCGGGAGGAACACCAAUGGCGAAGGCAGCUCGCUGGGACGUGACUGACGCUGAGACGCGAAAGCGUGGGGAGCAAACAGG